CCUACGGGUGGCAGCAGUGGGGAAUAUUGCACAAUGGGGGGAACCCUGAUGCAGCAACGCCGCGUGGGUGAAGAAGUACUCCGGUAUGUAAAGCCCUGUCAGCAGGGAAGAAAAUGACGGUACCUGACCAAGAAGCCCCGGCUAACUACGUGCCAGCAGCCGCGGUAAUACGUAGGGAGCAAGCGUUGUCCGGAAUUACUGGGUGUAAAGGGAGCGUAGGCGGGAUGGCAAGUUGGGUGUUAAAUCUACCGGCUCAACUGGUAGUCGCACUCAAAACUGCUAUUCUUGAGUGGGCGAGAAGUAUGCGGAAUGCGUGGUGUAGCGGUGAAAUGCAUAGAUAUCACGCAGAACUCCGAUUGCGAAGGCAGCAUACCGGCGCCCAACUGACGCUGACGCACGAAAGCGUGGGUAUCGAACAGGAUUAGAUACCCUUGUAGUC
RNAcentral lists this ribosomal RNA (439 nucleotides) under uncultured bacterium. RNAcentral's name for it is "partial 16S ribosomal RNA". It matches the Rfam family "Bacterial small subunit ribosomal RNA", at positions 338 to 795 of the family's 1533-position model. The record is from RNAcentral.